CGGGCUUCGGUUGACCCGGCCUCGGGCCGGGAUGUUCACAACCCUUUGUUGUCCGACUCUGUUGCCUCCGGGGCGACCCUGCCUCCGGGCGGGGGCCCCGGGUGGACACUUCAAACUCUUGCGUAACUUUGCAGUCUGAGUAAAUUUAAUUAAUAAAUUAAAACUUUCAACAACGGAUCUCUUGGUUCUGGCAUCGAUGAAGAACGCAGCGAAAUGCGAUAAGUAAUGUGAAUUGCAGAAUUCAGUGAAUCAUCGAAUCUUUGAACGCACAUUGCGCCCCCUGGUAUUCCGGGGGGCAUGCCUGUUCGAGCGUCAUUUCACCACUCAAGCCUCGCUUGGUAUUGGGCGACGCGGUCCGCCGCGCGCCUCAAAUCGACCGGCUGGGUCUUCCGUCCCCUCAGCGUUGUGGAAACUAUUCGCUAAAGGGUGCCGCGGGAGGUCACGCCGCAAAACAACCCCAUUUCUAAGGUUGACCUCGGAUCAGGUAGGGAUACCCGCUGAACUUAAGCAUAUCAAUAAGCGGAGGAA
RNAcentral lists this ribosomal RNA (528 nucleotides) under Cladosporium sphaerospermum. RNAcentral describes it as "eukaryotic LSU rRNA". The stretch from base 162 to 315 matches the Rfam family "5.8S ribosomal RNA". The record is from RNAcentral. Lineage: Eukaryota; Fungi; Ascomycota; Dothideomycetes; Cladosporiales; Cladosporiaceae.